ACUUAGAGAUUCACUCCUAACAAGUAGGAUAAGGCAGAAGCGAUGGGUGUGACUCCUGUGAAAAGUCAUGAAAGGUCAUGAAAAGUGCUGUGGCUUUCUCCUGGCUCUGGGGAGGCAGCUGCCAUGUUAUGAAGACACUCAAGCUGCCCUACGGGAAGCCCCUGUAGGGAGGAGGCGAGGCCUCCUGCCCAAACCGCGUGAGUGAGCCCCCUUGCAAUUGGACCUUCUGGGCCAGUCAAGCCUUCAGAUGCCCAUGUCCCAGCCGACACCUUGACUGCAUCCACAUGAGGGAAGGUGAGCCAGAGUCUCCCCUCCAAGCUCUCGAAUUCUUGACCUCCACGAACGGAUAAUGAAUAUUUUUGCCUUUUGCAGGAAGGAUUCAAUUCACUUUCCAGGUUCUGCUAUGGGAAGAACCGGUGCCCAGGGUCGUUCUUGGGUCCUUCCACUAUUCAUCUGUUUUGUAAGGACCUCCUAUCUGGGAGGCUGGUAGGAGGGCCUAUGUUACUAUCUUCCCCUCCUGUGGGUAUUACUCUCCUCCCUCCUACUCCUGUGAACCUCCCUUCUGAACUUCUUUAGGGGAAUUCUUUGCCUCAGCCCCGACGCGGGCUACAGCCUCAUCCCCAUCUCCCAGGCAUGUGCAUCAUCUGAGGACCUUCAGCUGUGUUCACCCCAAACCUUUUCCUUCAGCUGCAAGAGGCAGGCCUCAGCUCCUGAGGCCUCCACGAAGCCUUUGAAGAUCCUCAGGCUGCUGGGUGGCAUGCUGGACGCAGGGGAUCCCAGGAGGAAACCAAGGCUUGGUGAGGUGACCCGGCUCACUGGAAGUCCGUGCUUUCACUGUCUGCGUAGCCGCCAUCCCUAACCUGGGUCCUGACAUUAGUGGCUACACCUGCAAGAAUCCAGAGAAAUGGUGAGAUCCGUGACUAGCCCUGGACUCUGGCCCCCGGGUCCUCACCUGUCAGCUCGGCAGCUCCUCAAAGGCUCUGGCAGCUCAGAGGGGCAAGAUCCUG
Molecule: long non-coding RNA, 1007 nt
Filed under: Equus asinus (donkey)
Lineage: Eukaryota; Metazoa; Chordata; Mammalia; Perissodactyla; Equidae
Description: lncRNA (ENSEASG00005034336.1)
Source: RNAcentral